Molecule: unclassified non-coding RNA, 514 nt
Filed under: uncultured Glomus
Lineage: Eukaryota; Fungi; Glomeromycota; Glomeromycetes; Glomerales; Glomeraceae
Description: SSU rRNA
Rfam family: Eukaryotic small subunit ribosomal RNA
Source: RNAcentral
AGCAGCCGCGGUAAUUCCAGCUCCAAUAGCGUAUAUUAAAGUUGUUGCAGUUAAAAGCUCGUAGUUGAAUUUCGAGACCAAUAUGUCGGUCGUGCCUCGGUACGUACUGGCAUCGUUGGUUUCUCCUUUCUGAAGAACCAUGAUGUCAUUUAUUUGGUGUCGUGGGGAAUCAGGACUGUUACUUUGAAAAAUUAGAGUGUUUAAAGCAGGCUCACGCUUGAAUACAUUAGCAUGGAAUAAUGAAAUAGGGCGUUUGAUUCUAUUUUGUUGGUUUCUAGGAUCGACGUAAUGAUUAAUAGGGAUAGUUGGGGGCAUUAGUAUUCAAUUGUAUGAGGUGAAAUUCUUGGAUUUAUUGAAGACUAACUACUGCGAAAGCAUUUGCCAAGGAUGUUUUCAUUAAUCAAGAACGAAAGUUAGGGAUCGAAGACGAUCAGAUACCGUCGUAGUCUUAACCAUAAACUAUGCCGACUAGGGAUCGGAUGAUGUUAAUUUUUAAUGACUCAUUCGGCGUCCG